GUGAGUCAUCGAAUCUUUGAACGCAUAUUGCGCCCUUUGGUAUUCCGAAGGGCAUGCCUGUUCGAGCGUCAUUAUCACCUCUCAAGCCCCCGGGCUUUGGUGUUGGACGGUUUGGUCCCGGUGACGGGACCCCUCCUAAAAUUAAUGACGGCGGCCUGUUCGACCCCCGGUACACUGAGCUUAACUGAGCACGUAUCGGCCUAGACAGGACCCGGUCUUCUUCCUUAACCGGAAAAUCUCUCAAAAGGUUGACCUCGGAUCAGGUAGGGAUACCCGCUGAACUUAAGCAUAUCAAUAAGCGGAGGA
This 306-nucleotide unclassified non-coding RNA is filed under the name Chaetothyriales sp. RNAcentral's name for it is "partial contains 5.8S ribosomal RNA, internal transcribed spacer 2, and large subunit ribosomal RNA". The stretch from base 1 to 71 matches the Rfam family "5.8S ribosomal RNA", at positions 84 to 154 of the family's 154-position model. The record is from RNAcentral. Lineage: Eukaryota; Fungi; Ascomycota; Eurotiomycetes; Chaetothyriales.